UAUGUGAUCGUCUCUCGCAUAUCAAUAAGCGGAGGAAAAGAAACUAACAAGGAUUCCCCUAGUAACGGCGAGUGAAGCGGGAAGAGCUCAAAUUUGAAAUCUUAAAGGGUUUCCCUUUACGAAUUGUAGUUUAAAGAAGUGUUUUCUGUUGAGGUUUUGGUAAAAGUUCUUUGGAAUAGGACAUCAUAGAGGGUGAGAAUCCCGUAUUUGACCUUUACUUUCAACUUUGUGAUACACUUUCAAAGAGUCGGAUUGUUUGGGAAUGCAAUCCAAAAUGGGUGGUAAAUUUCAUCUAAAGCUAAAUAUUGGCGAGAGACCGAUAGCGAACAAGUACCGUGAGGGAAAGAUGAAAAGAACUUUGAAAAGAGAGUUAAACAGUACGUGAAAUUGUCAAAAGGGAAGCGUUUGACACCAGUGUUGUUUUUCUGAAAAUCAAUUAAAGAACUGUUUAUGCUAAGUUGUUUAGACUUUAUCAGCUAACUGUUUAGUUUUGAGCUUUUCUUUAAUGCACUUUUCAGUUAACAAGUCAACAUCAAUUUCUUUUGCUGUAAAAAAGCUUGAGGAAGGUGGCUUGAGAUUCGUCUUAAGUGUUUAUAGCCUCUUGCCUAUGCAGUCGGAGAGAUUGAGGUCUGCAGCGUAGAUCCUUCGGGGCUAAAUGCAUUUGUGCUAAGUUAUAGCAUUUUAUAGACAACUUGUUGACUAUGAUUUGUCUUGUAGCUUACUCGCUUAUGUUAUUUUACCUACGCUUAGGAUGUUGAAGUCAUCGUAUCGCGC
RNAcentral lists this ribosomal RNA (774 nucleotides) under uncultured Neocallimastigales. RNAcentral's name for it is "partial large subunit ribosomal RNA". It matches the Rfam family "Eukaryotic large subunit ribosomal RNA", at positions 24 to 645 of the family's 3401-position model. The record is from RNAcentral. Lineage: Eukaryota; Fungi; Neocallimastigomycota; Neocallimastigomycetes; Neocallimastigales.